Molecule: ribosomal RNA, 389 nt
Filed under: uncultured bacterium
Lineage: Bacteria
Description: bacterial SSU rRNA
Rfam family: Bacterial small subunit ribosomal RNA
Source: RNAcentral
AUUGAACGCUGGCGGCAUGCCUUACACGUGCAAGUCGAACGGCAGCACGGGAGCAAUCCUGGUGGCGAGUGGCGAACGGGUGAGUAAUAUAUCGGAACGUGCCCGGUCGUGGGGGAUAACCGUAGCGAAAGCUACGCUAAUACCGCAUACGAUCUACGGAUGAAAGCGGGGGAUCGCAAGACCUCGCGCGAUUGGAGCGGCCGAUAUCAGGUUAGGUAGUUGGUGAGGUAAAGGCGUCACCAAGCCGACGAUCUGUAGCUGGUCUGAGAGGACGACCAGCCACACUGGGACUGAGACACGGCCCAGACUCCUACGGAGGCAGCAGUGGGGAAUUUUGGGACAAUGGGCGCAAGCCUGAUCCAGCAAUGCCGCGUGCAGGAUGAAGGCCU